Molecule: ribosomal RNA, 108 nt
Filed under: Bacteroides fragilis str. S38L3
Lineage: Bacteria; Pseudomonadati; Bacteroidota; Bacteroidia; Bacteroidales; Bacteroidaceae
Also listed under: 1 other name
Source: RNAcentral
GGUGACUAUAGCAUCAGGGUUCCACCUCUUCCCAUUCCGAACAGAGAAGUUAAGCCUGAUCACGCCGAUGGUACUGCGUAACAGUGGGAGAGUAGGUAGUCGCCGCUU